Molecule: transfer RNA, 70 nt
Filed under: Phascogale tapoatafa (brush-tailed phascogale)
Lineage: Eukaryota; Metazoa; Chordata; Mammalia; Dasyuromorphia; Dasyuridae
Description: transfer RNA-Trp
Rfam family: tRNA
About the family: Transfer RNA (tRNA) molecules are approximately 80 nucleotides in length. Their secondary structure includes four short double-helical elements and three loops (D, anti-codon, and T loops).
Source: RNAcentral
AAAGGCUUAGGAUCAAACCAGACCAAAGGCCUUCAAAGCCUUAAGCAGGCGUUAAACCGCCUAGCCUUUG